This 253-nucleotide ribosomal RNA is filed under the name uncultured bacterium. RNAcentral describes it as "partial 16S ribosomal RNA". It matches the Rfam family "Bacterial small subunit ribosomal RNA", at positions 524 to 776 of the family's 1533-position model. The record is from RNAcentral.
GACAGAGGGGGCAAGCGUUGCUCGGAAUUACUGGGCGUAAAGGGCGCGUAGGCGGGAUGGCAAGUCGGUCGUGAAAUCCUUCGGCUCAACCGAAGAACGUCGAUCGAUACUGCUGUUCUUGAGGGUUGCAGAGGAGACUGGAAUUCCCGGUGUAGCGGUGAAAUGUGUAGAGAUCGGGAGGAACACCGGUGGCGAAGGCGGGUCUCUGGGACGGUACUGACGCUGAGACGCGAAAGUGUGGGGAGCGAACAGG